This 208-nucleotide long non-coding RNA is filed under the name Ictidomys tridecemlineatus (thirteen-lined ground squirrel). RNAcentral describes it as "lncRNA (ENSSTOG00000032671.1)". The record is from RNAcentral. Lineage: Eukaryota; Metazoa; Chordata; Mammalia; Rodentia; Sciuridae.
AAAUGCUAAGCUGUGUGGGUGAUCCUUUUAAGCAGGCCAUAUGUGUGUGUUUGGAGAGGUUGGAAGUCAAGGAAAGAAAGGAGCCAAAUGUCCUUAUUCUGAUGGGACAGAAGGUGGAGAACUGCACAAAUGGAGGAAUUUAGAAGGAACAAAGUUUUUCACAAUGUGGACCAUCUUUACAUGUUUAUUGCUUAUUCAUAUUUCCAGG